This is a long non-coding RNA of Anolis carolinensis (green anole), 277 nucleotides long. RefSeq lists it as uncharacterized. The transcript has 2 exons. The record is from RefSeq and is a predicted model, not a curated record. Lineage: Eukaryota; Metazoa; Chordata; Lepidosauria; Squamata; Anolidae.
GGAUCCACGAGCUCUAGCUGUGUGGAGUUCAGACUCUGAGUAGAUUUGGGACACCUGGUGUUUGGGUGUGAGUGUUUGGUCACCCAGGAGGAAGGGGAAUAAAAUGGGAAUGUUUGGCCAUUGCACUUUGCGUGUGGCAAGGUGUUGCUGAGGCGCCAUUGGGAUCUCUGUGUUUCCGUGAAGACUGGACUUGGACUGUGAUUCGGAUCUGCUGAUACCAUCUGGCUUGGCUCUCGCUGUGUCUUAUCGUGGACCUGGUUUGGAUGACUGCACCCUC